AUACCAAAUGAUGAAAAUGGAUUUUAAUAUCUCACGAUGGUCAUCAGAGACUUUGUGUCGAUGUUGAUCCAAUAAUUCUGAUGUUU
RNAcentral lists this small nucleolar RNA (86 nucleotides) under Macleaya cordata. RNAcentral's name for it is "Small nucleolar RNA Z161/Z228". It matches the Rfam family "Small nucleolar RNA Z161/Z228". Rfam says of the family: Z161 and Z228 are members of the C/D class of snoRNA which contain the C (UGAUGA) and D (CUGA) box motifs. The record is from Rfam by way of RNAcentral. Lineage: Eukaryota; Viridiplantae; Streptophyta; Magnoliopsida; Ranunculales; Papaveraceae.